RNAcentral lists this small RNA (28 nucleotides) under Bombyx mori (domestic silkworm). Its description in RNAcentral is "ovarian small RNA-12435". The record is from RNAcentral. Lineage: Eukaryota; Metazoa; Arthropoda; Insecta; Lepidoptera; Bombycidae.
AUCAUAUCGAGCAAGAUCGAGGGACUGC